This is a long non-coding RNA of Meriones unguiculatus (Mongolian gerbil), 392 nucleotides long. RefSeq lists it as uncharacterized. The transcript has 2 exons. The record is from RefSeq and is a predicted model, not a curated record. NCBI's taxonomy places the organism in Eukaryota, Metazoa, Chordata, Mammalia, Rodentia, Muridae.
UUCAGAUACUUCUGCCCAGUCCGGAUCCAGCCUGUAGGUAGAGGCCUGUGUGUUCACCACCGAGAGAUGGCGUCAGGGUUGCUCACGUGAUGGUCCAGACUUAAAUACGAGACACAACCUGACAAUGUCCUGCACAUCACUUCCGUGUUCCUACCCAAAGUGAGCAAACCGAAUCUAAUCGCAGCGGCAGGGGGAAAUCCACAAAAUAAGAUGUGCUCCCCAAAACGCACACGUCAAGAAAGUGAGAGAGGACAGAACAAACAAAGAGGACGACAGGAGUGCAAGAGACGUGCCAUCUUGUGUAAGGUGCCAUCCAGACCAGGUCCCGGACUGCAAGGACUUCAGUGGGAAAACUGGAAAAUUCAAAUACAUUCUCACAGUUAUUAAUGUUC